UGGGCAACCUGCCCCUCUCUCUGGGAUAACCCCCGGGAAACCGGAGCUAAUACCGGAUACUCCGGCUGGAUCGCAUGGUCCGGCCGGGAAAGGUCGCCGGAGAGGGAUGGGCCCGCGGCCUAUCAGCUUGUUGGUGGGGUCAUGGCUCACCAAGGCGACGACGGGUANCUGGUCUGAGAGGACGACCAGCCACACUGGAACUGAGAUACGGUCCAGACUCCGUACGGGAGCA
This 232-nucleotide ribosomal RNA is filed under the name uncultured bacterium. Its description in RNAcentral is "partial 16S ribosomal RNA". It matches the Rfam family "Bacterial small subunit ribosomal RNA", at positions 118 to 347 of the family's 1533-position model. The record is from RNAcentral.